CUACAAGCAAUGAUUUAGGAUAUGUCUGUAUAAGGUUAUUGUUUAGAGAGGAAACGGCUGGUGAAAGUUUCUCAAGACUUAUAAAGGUACUCCCUAAUAGCUACACUCGAAAGAGAUUGUCGUGAAACUGCGUUAAGGUGAAUGAGGUUAUCAAAUUGAUAACGAAUAAAGGUGGUACCACGAGAUUUCGUCCUUUGG
This 198-nucleotide non-coding RNA is filed under the name Candidatus Stoquefichus. RNAcentral's name for it is "T-box sequence". It matches the Rfam family "T-box leader". From Rfam's summary of the family: Uncharged tRNA acts as the effector for transcription antitermination of genes in the T-box leader family. The record is from RNAcentral. Lineage: Bacteria; Bacillati; Bacillota; Erysipelotrichia; Erysipelotrichales; Erysipelotrichaceae.